Molecule: ribosomal RNA, 647 nt
Filed under: uncultured fungus
Lineage: Eukaryota; Fungi
Description: eukaryotic LSU rRNA
Rfam family: 5.8S ribosomal RNA (bases 186-339)
Source: RNAcentral
UCCGUAGGUGAACCUGCGGAAGGAUCAUUAAUGAUUGAACGUCUGUCGAGCUUGCUCACAGGCACAUCAUAUCCAUAACACCUGUGCACUUGUCGGAUGGCUUAGUGAAGACCGCAAGGUUGGAUCUAUCCAUCUACUUUACAUAACAAUUCUGUAACAAAUGUAGUCUUAUUAUAACAUAAUAAAACUUUCAACAACGGAUCUCUUGGCUCUCGCAUCGAUGAAGAACGCAGCGAAAUGCGAUAAGUAAUGUGAAUUGCAGAAUUCAGUGAAUCAUCGAAUCUUUGAACGCACCUUGCGCUCCUUGGUAUUCCGAGGAGCAUGCCUGUUUGAGUGUCAUGAAAACCCUCAACCCUAGAUUGGUUAAAACCUUUCUUUGGUUUGGAUUUGGACGUUUGCCGAUGAUAAGUCGGCUCGUCUUAAAAAGUAAUAGCUGGAUCUGUCUCGCGACAUGGUUUGACUUGGCGUAAUAAGUAUUUCGCUAAGGACAUCUUCGGAUGGCCGCGUUGCAGGACUAAAGACCGCUUUCUAAUCCAUUGAUCUUACGAUUAAUAUUCUUGGACAUCCUGGGGGCCCUCAAAUCAGGGUAGGGACUACCCGGCUGGAACUUAAGGCAUAUCAAUAAGGCGGGGAGGGGAAGGGUCGAC